RNAcentral lists this non-coding RNA (224 nucleotides) under Clostridium sp. RNAcentral's name for it is "T-box sequence". It matches the Rfam family "T-box leader". Rfam says of the family: Uncharged tRNA acts as the effector for transcription antitermination of genes in the T-box leader family. T-boxes are found upstream of many aminoacyl-tRNA synthetase genes and some amino acid biosynthetic genes usually in Gram-positive bacteria. Lineage: Bacteria; Bacillati; Bacillota; Clostridia; Eubacteriales; Clostridiaceae. The record is from RNAcentral.
UUACUUACUUUGAUAAGGAGUAGUAGUAUAAUGGCUACUUUAGAGAGCUGUCGGUUGGUGAGAGACAGUGUAGACCUUAUAUGAACUCGCCUUGGAGUAUUGAUUGAUGAACCUCCCCUUUUUUAGAGAGAUUUAGUCGAUCACGGGCAAGCCCGUUAUUAGCUCAAAGUGAGGCUUUAAGCCUAAUUAGAGUGGUACCGCGGAAGUUGUCUUUCGUCUCUUAU